This 73-nucleotide transfer RNA is filed under the name Neotoma lepida (desert woodrat). It matches the Rfam family "tRNA". From Rfam's summary of the family: Transfer RNA (tRNA) molecules are approximately 80 nucleotides in length. Their secondary structure includes four short double-helical elements and three loops (D, anti-codon, and T loops). The record is from Rfam by way of RNAcentral. Lineage: Eukaryota; Metazoa; Chordata; Mammalia; Rodentia; Cricetidae.
GGAGAUGUGGCUCAGUUGGUAGAGUUCCUGCCUUGCAUGCAUGGAGCCCUGGGUUCCAUCCCCAGCACCUCAU